AAAAUUAAAUAAACAACUUCGUAUAACCCUAUUAAUCUGGUAUAGGGGUCUCUACCACGGAACCAUAAUUCCUGCUUACGAAGAAGAUAUGU
Molecule: non-coding RNA, 92 nt
Filed under: uncultured Cetobacterium sp.
Lineage: Bacteria; Fusobacteriati; Fusobacteriota; Fusobacteriia; Fusobacteriales; Fusobacteriaceae
Description: Purine riboswitch
Rfam family: Purine riboswitch aptamer
About the family: Riboswitches are metabolite binding domains within certain messenger RNAs that serve as precision sensors for their corresponding targets. Allosteric rearrangement of mRNA structure is mediated by ligand binding, and this results in modulation of gene expression. A class of riboswitches that selectively recognises guanine and becomes saturated at concentrations as low as 5 nM.
Source: RNAcentral